CCUGGACCAAGUUCCAGCGUCGUGGACACGGGCCUUUAGGAAUCCUGUCGUUAUUUGGAGCGUAUUCGCGUAAUUUGUUUUCGGACACAAUUGCUUCGCAAAAUUUUCGUAUUUCCGUGUCGUCUUUAUUGUUCCUCAAUCAAUCUGCAAGAUUACCGCGUCACAUUCGCCCUCUUUUCAAUUUACAAUCCAGCUUACGUCUAGAUUCGCAACUUAACUAAUUUACAACUCCGAAUUAAUUCAGAACAAUCCAACUAAACUUCUCCCCCACACUCUAAUCAGACCUCCGUUUCCGCGCUCUUUUCUAUUUUCUCUUUCACUCUCUUAUAUUUUCCCCUCUCUUGCCUCUCUCACUUUUCAGAUUUCCAUUAAUCUGAGAAAUGACAUCUUCCCACCCAAUUUUCUCCCUGGAAUAAAUUUCCGCAGCGGGUUGCGCUCGCGGAAUCGGUAACGAUACGAAAAUCAGCCGCGAAGAGAAAUCACUCGCGGGAGAUGUAUUAAUACUCACGUAAUCAAUAUUGACCUCUCCUUUAUACAUGAAGUCAAUCAGCACUUCUAGGUCAGAAAAUUUGACGUCACGGAGGAUGAUGACAGGGUCCUUCUCCUUAUUCUCCGAUAGGAUCGUAUCAAAAAACGUGCUGUACGCCGACAAUAUAAACUGCGAACACGCGAGCCGGGCGCGAUUGUUAAUCAUUUAUGCGACGAUUUUAUCUGCGAAGAGCGCGAAGGGAGCCGUGUAAAAUAAAGCGCGUAGCGCAGAAGUCGCAACUUAAAAUUCUACAUGCGCUAUGAACAGCCGCACGAGGCGUUACGUGUCGGACAUAUCGAUAACAGGCGGGUGUUAAGGAUGUAUCUGAGAUACAAUCAUUGACAAAAAUCCCCCAAAUUCGAAAAACUGGCAUAUCUACGCUAAACGUGCAGUAAACCUAGUGAUAACUGAUAUAAAUGAUAACUAACAUAAUAUAUUUAUUUUAAAAAGUUAUUUUUCACAUUUUUCAGCACUUUAUUAGGUUUAUUUGCCAUUUUACAACUUUUUACAAUAAAACUUUUGGCAGUGAAAAUGCCCAGAAUGCAACCUUAGAACAUCAAAUUUCUUAUUUAUUUAACACCAUUAUUUAACAGUGUAAUACAGAAAAAGUAAUUGGAAUAUAGUUAAAAAGGUUGAUAGCAAUGCACUUUUGACAUUGCGAGCUAACUUCUGUUUAGUCCUGCAUCGCAAUGUCAAAAGCCACAAAAAUGUAUCGGUGGAAAGGCAAAAUAAUUAGCGAAAGUACGUAUCGAAAGAGACUUGCGCAACAAAGAUGUGGAUUUUUAAGAAGAAAAGUUCAAAUUGUACAAGAAGAAAAAACUGAGCCUACCAUGGAGGAAAAUGUGAGCGAGAAACCAGAGUUUAUGUUGUUUAUCAAAAUUAUUUAAUUUUUAUUCUUGUUCUCUAAAUGAAAACAAUACAGAUAAAACGAGACUUUACGACGUGACUACUGUAUCGGUCAGGUUAUUCGUUUGACACGUUCAGCUGAUUGCGACGUUGCCGCACUUCUACAGUCCAGUAAUUGACAUAUUACAGAAACCGCAAAAUUGUCAUGAAUAAUAAUUAAUUUCUCCUAAACCGUGUUGUGAAACCUAAUCGAAUUUUGCACAAAGUUCCAAUAAUCCAUGGUCUAUAUGUAUAAAAAAAAUUAAAAUUUUGGUACUAUUUUUUCUAUACUUUAUUACUUAUUUCAUUCAAGAAAAUUGCGUUUCCCAUAAGAACACGUGUAAAAUCAGACAUAAUUGAAAUAAUAAUUACUCUCUAACGAUUUAGUAAAUCUACUUAAAAUUUUUUUCAGUAUAUUACAGAUAACAAAGGAAGUGUUUCCCGAAGUUUCAUCAAUUUGGUACUAUUUUGAAAUAGCUCAGAUACAUCCUUAA
Vollenhovia emeryi is the source of this 1908-nucleotide long non-coding RNA. RefSeq lists it as uncharacterized. The record is from RefSeq and is a predicted model, not a curated record. NCBI's taxonomy places the organism in Eukaryota, Metazoa, Arthropoda, Insecta, Hymenoptera, Formicidae. The transcript is spliced from 2 exons.